ACUACUGAAGAAAAGUAGAAAUACAAAAAAUGUGGCAAAACUUUUAAUCAAUGCUCAUAUCUUUUUGCAUGUGAUAGCAUUUAUACAUGAGAAUAAUUGCACAAAUAUAAAAAUACAAAAGCCAUUAAUUUCUACUCACAUCUUACCAGAUAUCAGAAUUUAUGGUUAACAAAAGCAUUAUAAAUGUAAUUUCUGUUGAAAGACCUUUUAGAAAAUAUAGGCCAUUAAAGCGAAGAAGAGUAUUCUUAAGACAGACAAUACAAAUAUAAAGAGGGUGUAGUACCUGUACUUGUAUCCUGGAUCUUACUGUACACAUUUUGUACUAGCGGAAGACUCAGAAGCAGUUGCUCAAACUUUGUUCAACAUCAGAGAAUUUACAUUGGAGCGAAAUACGACAAAUGUAAUAAAUGUGGAAAAACAUCUGUUCAAAAACUGCAGGUUAAGAAACACUAGAGAGUUUAUAUUAGAAGAGAAUUUGUAGAUGCAAUAAAUGUGGAGAAAUAUUUAGGCUAAAAUUAAGCCUAUGUAAACAUCAGAGGAUUUACUGGAG
This 550-nucleotide long non-coding RNA is filed under the name Homo sapiens (human). RNAcentral describes it as "non-protein coding lnc-ZNF732-2:1". The record is from RNAcentral. Lineage: Eukaryota; Metazoa; Chordata; Mammalia; Primates; Hominidae.